RNAcentral lists this ribosomal RNA (497 nucleotides) under uncultured bacterium. RNAcentral describes it as "partial 16S ribosomal RNA". It matches the Rfam family "Bacterial small subunit ribosomal RNA", at positions 28 to 507 of the family's 1533-position model. The record is from RNAcentral.
GAUGAACGCUGGCGGCGUGCCUAAUACAUGCCAGUCGAGCGAACAGACGAGGAGCUUGCUCCUCUGACGUUAGCGGCGGACGGGUGAGUAACACGUGGAUAACCUACCUAUAAGACUGGGAUAACUUCGGGAAACCGGAGCUAAUACCGGAUAAUAUAUUGAACCGCAUGGUUCAAUAGUGAAAGACGGUUUUGCUGUCUCUUAUAGAUGGAUCCGCGGCGCAUUAGCUAGUUGGUAAGGUAACGGCUUACCAAGGCGACGAUGCGUAGCCGACCUGAGAGGGGGAACGGCCACACUGGAACUGAGACAAGGGCCAGACUCCUAAGGGAGGCAGCAGGAGGGAAUCUUCCGCAAUGGGCGAAAGCCUGACGGAGCAACGCCGCGUGGGUGAUGAAAGUCUUCGGAUCGUAAAACUCUGUUAGUAGGGAAGAACAAAUGUGUAAGUAACUAUGCACGUCUUGACGGUACCUAAUCAGAAAGCCACGGCUAACUACGUG